This 547-nucleotide ribosomal RNA is filed under the name uncultured bacterium. Its description in RNAcentral is "bacterial SSU rRNA". It matches the Rfam family "Bacterial small subunit ribosomal RNA", at positions 355 to 896 of the family's 1533-position model. The record is from RNAcentral.
UGGGGGAUAUUGCGCAAUGGGGGGAACCCUGACGCAGCCAUGCCGCGUGAAUGAAGAAGGCCUUCGGGUUGUAAAGUUCUUUCGGUAUUGAGGAAGGUUGAUGUGUUAAUAGCACAUCAAAUUGACGUUAAAUACAGAAGAAGCACCGGCUAACUCCGUGCCAGCAGCCACGGUAAUACGGAGGGUGCGAGCGUUAAUCGGAAUAACUGGGCGUAAAGGGCACGCAGGCGGUUAUUUAAGUGAGGUGUGAAAGCCCCGGGCUUAACCUGGGAAUUGCAUUUCAGACUGGGUAACUAGAGUACUUUAGGGAGGGGUAGAAUUCCACGUGUAGCGGUGAAAUGCGUAGAGAUGUGGAGGAAUACCGAAGGCGAAGGCAGCCCCUUGGGAAUGUACUGACGCUCAUGUGCGAAAGCGUGGGGAGCAAACAGGAUUAGAUACCCUGGUAGUCCACGCUGUAAACGCUGUCGAUUUGGGGGUUGGGGUUUAACUCUGGCGCCCGUAGCUAACGUGAUAAAUCGACCGCCUGGGGAGUACGGCCGCAAGGUUA